Molecule: long non-coding RNA, 7799 nt
Filed under: Homo sapiens (human)
Lineage: Eukaryota; Metazoa; Chordata; Mammalia; Primates; Hominidae
Description: HSALNT0401305
Source: RNAcentral
GGGUGGCUGAAGCAGGAGAAUCGCUUGAACCUGGGAGGCAGAGGCUUGCAGUGAGCUGAAAUCACGCCACUCUCCUCCAACCCGGGCAAUAGAGUGAUACUCCUUCUCAAAAAAAAAAAAAAUACUAUGAGCUACUCAAUAUCUUUUUAAUAAAUUUGCUUUCUGCUUAAUCAUCCAAAUCAGCUUCUGUUGCUUGCAAUAUAGAAUCCUGACUGAUAUACUGGGAUUUUUUUUCCUUAAAGACAUAGAUUUUGGAUUUAUUUUUUCCUGGUAUUUCCCCUUACUAUUUCUAAAAUAUUAUCUUCCAUCUUAAUGAGUUUCCCCUUCCCCCAGCUAAUUUUCUUGUCCUUUUUCUAUUUCUCAAGAAUAUUGUUUUAGCCUGGAUUCUCUAGAAAACAGAACCUUUGGCAAGUUUGUAUGCCAACACCUCACUGGGGAGUGCAACCUCAGAGAAACCAGAUUGAGGGAAAAAUGAGGCAAGAAGGAGAAGUGCAAAGAUAAGAGGCAUUACUGAGAGGACCCGAGUUUUGUAAUUAAUGAAGCUAACUGCUUGGACUCACAGUACAUCUUCAGAUCUUCAGAGAAGUUGUAUGAACUACCCUGUCUUGGAACAUCCUCAGGAGGAGAAACUGGAACACACUUUUUUCUCCUGCCUUUGGACAUCGGAACUCCAGGCUCUCCAGGCUUUCCAGACUCUGGACUUAACAGCAGUCUCUGGACUUACAACAGCAGCCCCCUGGAUCCUCAAGCCUUUGGCCUCAGACUAAUAAUUAUAUCAGCAACUUCCUGGUUCUGAGGCUUUUGGGCAGCCAUGCUACUAGCAACCCAGCAGUUCCAGCAGAAGGCCUGUUGUGGGACUUCUCAGCCUCCAUGAGCAUGUAAGCUUGCUUAAAAGAACUCCAGAUGGCCCGGGAGCUGCAGGACCCUUUGCCAAUUAUCAGAGGAAGAUAAGGCCUGUGUGAAACCGGGACAAACCUGAACCAGCGACCCCGUGUUACCUUUAGAUCAUUAACAUAUCAUCAUAAUGCUAAAACCUCACCCAUAGAAGAUAAUUGCUGCCAUUUUCUGAAUAUACAUUAUAUGAAGAAGCAUGUUCAUGAUCUGCACCUGCACAUCUGGAGUUCCUCCCCAUACAUGUUUACGUACCUCCCUGCCCCACAUCUAACUCCUUAAAAUCCCCCAGCUUCUCAUAUCUCAGGGAGAAGGAGUCUUUAGAGAAAGAGCUCCCUCCUCCAUUCCUGGCCAGGAAUAAAACCUGCUUGCCUUUUUUCCCAAUUAGGUGUUACAGUAGAACUCAGUUACCCUGUAACAAUAAGAAUUGCAUUAAAUCCUUAUAUCAACUUGGGAAGAAUUGACAGCUUUACCAUAUUAAGUCUUCUAAUCCAUAAAUAAGUAUGUUCAUCCAUUUUUUUAGAUUUUUGAAAUUUCUUUCAUCAGCAUUUUGUAGUUCUUUGCCUCACUAUCUAGAUCCCAAAUAUUUUCUGUUUUUUUUUUCUGAAAGUUUUAUCUCUUACAAUUUAAACCUGAGUAGUUCUCAGCAUGCAAGCCCCAUACAUGUUUUGUUGGAUUUAAAUUUAAGUACUUUGGUUUUUGAUAAAUUGUAAGUGCUACUGUAUUUUAAGUUUCAGUGCCCAUGUGUUCCUUGCUGGUAUAAAGAAAUACAACAUAUUCCUGCAGUCUAGCUGAAGUCACUUAUCAGCUCUAGGAGUUUCUGUUUUUUGUUUUAUUUUUGGUAGAUCUUUGAGAUUUCCUACUUUGAUAAGCAUGUUAUCCACGAAUAGGGACAGUUUUAUUACUACCUUUCUGAUCUGUAUGCCUUUUAUUUCCUUUUCUUACCUUAUUGCAUUGGGUAGAACUUCUAACACUGUUUAACAAUAAUGGUAAGAGCAGUCAUCCUUGCCCUUUUCCUCUUCUCAGGGGUACAACCAUUCAGUCUUUCACUGUUAAGUAUGAUGCUGGCUGUGGAGUUGUUAUAGAUGCUCUUUAACAAGUUAGGACAAAUUCCCUCUAUUUCUCUUUUUCUGAGCAUUUUUAAAACCAUGAAUGGGUAUUUUGUGAAAUGCUUUUUCUGUAUUGAUUGGUAAGAUCAAUUUUCUUUUGUAUCCAGUUAGUAUGUUGGAUUAUGUUGACUGAUUUGUGAAUAGUAAAACUGCCCUGCAUUCCUGCAGUAAGCUUCGCUGUGUUACAAGAUCUUUGGGGUGUUGCUUUUCUGGCCAGAAACCUCUGUGGCCAGUGGUGCCUUUGCCCAAGUUUUGUUUGGGCUCACUGGGCUCAUUCCGCCCACUCGGCCUGGCAGGCUGUGCUCAGCUCAUGCUACCAGCCUGGACCCCAUGUCUGCCAAAGGCAAGUCAGGCAUGGAGUGGCAAGGGGUGUGUGAGUGAGCGUGGGGUCUGGCCACUGUGCAGUCAGACAUGUCAGCUGCUGCAGUGGGGUGGGCAGCUCCAGGUGCUGGCACAGGCACUAGUCCUCUGUGAGGCUGUGGCUGAGCCAGGCACACUGCACGCAGCUUCCACAGCUGGUACUGGGGAACAAAGUGGUGCCUGGAGGCUUGGAGAUGCCAGGAACCACAGGGCUCCCAAGAAAGAGUCAUAGCCCUGGCUUGGGGAGCUCCCAGGUCUGGGCUUCCCGAAGGGCCAUAGCUAUUCUUUCUUUCUCUUCACCCUCAAUGUAGUGAGCAAGGGGCAUGUUUCAACCCUGUUUGUGUUACAGCUCUUUUAGCCCUACCAUUCAAUGGGUCCCAAGUUCUUGUCCUAUAACCAGGAAGAAUGAGGUACCCAGACAAGUGGAGGGUGAGCAAGAUGAAAAGGAGCUUUACUGAGCGACAGAACAGUUUGGAGGAAACCCGCAGUGGGUAGCUCCUUUCCACAGCCAGGGUGUCCUGAUGAGUGUUCAGCUCCUAGCAAAGAGGAGGCCCUGGAGUGGGAAGCUCCUCUUUGCAUGCAGGUGGUCACAUUGUCUCUGCAGCUCUCAGCAGAGAGGAGGCCCUGGAGUGGGUAGCUCCUCUCUGCUGUUGGUCAUCCUAAUGUCUGCUCAGCUCUGGUUGAGCGCAGGGGUAUUAUGGGCUUCAGAGGGGGGAAAGUGUAUGCCAACUGGUCCAUGGGCAGGCCCAGAAAAGGCACCACAAGCUCCCACUCUGGUCUGUGGGGCUGGCAGCCCGACGCCAGCCUUCAGGCCCUCCCUGGCCUGAAGGUGGGGCCUCACUGGGGACCUGCCCCCUUCUGCCCAGGAGCCCAUCUGCCUCCUGCCACUGCACAUGGCACCCAGGCUGCUCACAGCAAGGGGCACCUACAGGCCAGGGCAAGCCGCCCUCAACUUCGUCAUUGUGUAUACUUUUUUUUACAUUGUUGAAUUCUACUUGCUAAUUUAAAAAAAUGUUGCAUCUAUAUUCAUGAUAUUAGUCUUUUGUUUUUUGUACUAUCUUUUUUUUUUGGUUUGAGUAUCAGAUUUAGUACUAGCUUCAUAAAAUAAAUGGGAAAGUCUACUCUCAUCUUCAAUUUUCUGGAAGAGAUUUUGUAGAAUUAGUGUUAAUUCUUUUUUAAACUUUUGGUAGAAUUGUCCAGUGAACUCUCCUGGUCUAGGAGCUGUUUUUAAAUUUUAGUUUUAAAAUUACAAAUUCAACUUUUAAAAUUCCAUUUCAUACUGGGUGAGUUGUAGUUUUUGAGGAAUUGGCCUGUUUAAUUUAAGCUGUCAAAUUUAUGUGGGUAGAGUUGUUUGUAGUAUUCCCCUACUAUCCUUCUGAUGUACACAGAGCCUGUAGUGAUAUCCCAUUUCAUCCUUGAUGUUUCAUUCCGUUUCACCCUCUUUCUUUUCUCUCCUUAUUACUGGUUGUGGGAAUGGGAAUUCCAGCUUCUCCCUAGGCCUCUACUAAGACCUCCCUGACUUGGGGGACAGUUGGGUGGGGCGGCUCAUGACUGCUCCCCAAGGGGCCUCCACUGACACAAGGGGUGGUGGCCUCAUUACCACUAGUUGGUGGUGAAAGUCCUGAUCCCCCUCUGGGUUUUCUGGUACACUGCCCCAGCAGAGCAGAGAGGGGCACCUCAUGACUGCUGGAUGGGAGUGGAAGUCCAGACUCCCCCACUGUCUUCACUGAUAUUGCAGGGAGCCCAUGGGGAGAGUUGGGGUGCCUCUUUACAGCCUGGUGUGGGUGGAAUUCUAGGAUCUCCACCUCUGCCUUUGCUUGUGUGAGUGUGGGUAGGGCCACAGUCUUUCUGUGGUGUUCGGCUGGAGUAGAGAGGUUAUUGUCUCAAGGUUUUCUGUCUCGUAAGGCUGCCCAUUUUCUGCUUUCUGUUUUGUUUUUGCUUUGUAUAGAGGGAGUAGGCUUUUGAUGGGGCUUUUCCCCCCAUCUCAAACACUAGAAUUUCCAGGUCGCGAGCUUCUUCAGUUCUAAGUCUGGGAUAUAUGAGGCAAAAUGAAAGCCAGGAGAAUGCACUAUGCGGUCCCAAGUUUCCUAGCUGGUCUGCCUUCUUUUCUCAACUUUUCAGAAUAUUUUUAUACUUGCUUUACAUACAAACUAAAUCUACUGAAAAAAUACAAUAAUCAAAAUAAAUGGAUGGGCUCAAUAGCCAAUAGAGGAGACAGAGGAAAAAAAAAUCACUGCACUGACAACUAUAACUAGAGAAAUCACCCAGACUGAAAAACAGAGAGAAAAUAAAUGGAAAAAAAUGAAUGGAGCUUCAGGGACCUGUGAGACUAUCACAGGGUCCAGUGUUUGUGUCAUCGAACUUGCAGAAGGAGAAGAGAAAGAAGACAAGGCUGAAAAGGUAUUCAAAGAAAUAAUGGCUGAAAGUUUCCCAAAUGUUCAGAGUUUUUAGUUGUCCUUACUGGGAGGAAUAGGGAGAAGCGUGUCUGCUCUAUCUUCCUGAAAGCUAAAGAACCAAGCACUGCUGGAUGGGGACCCAGGGUCUCCAAGCUGAGAAGAACACUGAUAAGGCAUGCACGGAAGCAGUCCUGGGAGGACUCUGCCACAGGCACAAACACCACUGGACACCCAAAGUCAUACUGCUGGGCGCUGGAGUCCAUUGCUUCUUCUGAGAAGAAUCGCUAACUUUUCUCGGGUCUUUGUACCUUUAGCCCCUGAUUCAAAGUCUUAGGGAGGCUCACCUAAGUGGCCAGUCGCAGGGAGUGUGCCCAGCCCUGCCUGUCAGCAGGUGUGGAAAGGAAAUGUACAGCAUUCUGCAGCAUCCCUGGUGGAAGCUGGAGCCUGUCUUCCAUUAAGCCGUACUCACUGUGGGAUUCCUCAAUUUGUCCAAUUAGGAGAAAAUGGAUGCUCAGAGAAGUGAAGCCAGUCAUCCAACAUUAACAGCACUCAGCCCCAUGAAAUGAUCUUAAUGACUCCACAAGAAAUAAAUGCUGAAGAAAAAUGGACUCCAGCCUCCUAGGCCCAGGAUUUCUUGAUGUUUCUUUGGUGUUUGGGAGGACACUGUAUUUCUGCAGCUUCAGGAUGGCUUAUGUACUCUCUGGCCUGUAUUUGUUCCUAGCACCCCUGGUUUGAGUUUACCAGAAGCCAGUGUGAGAUUCAGGGGCCAAUGUGUACUAUCAGCGACAAAUAUUGGUUAUCAGGUGAGAGGUCCUGUCUAAAGUGAAGCUGUGCUUGGAGCUCAGAUACUGACUCCAUGUGAAUGCAAUGGAUCUUGUGUGUUAGGAGGACAAGACUCCUGGAAUAGAAAUUCAGUGAGACCUCACACCAGAGCUCUAGGCAGGGGUGGAAAAGCCCCAGGCAAGGAGCUGGGCUAUAAACAAUUCUUGAUCCUUCUGUUCAGAGUGUGCAAAAUUUGCAUGGUGUUACCCCAUGCAGAGACAACUUGGGUUGUGUGCCAAUGGACGUUUCAGGGCACUUCUCAAAGGAGGGAGCUAAGCUGAGGGGCUUGGCAGGGGGCAGACUCCACAAUAAAAGGCUUAUUGGAUGUCUGUGAGGGUACACUCAAGACAGGAGAGAGUCAGCAGGCCCAGCUGAGAAAAUUCAAUCUCAACCUUCUCUAAAGACAUUCUCUGAAGACACAUGCUUUAUUUUCCACUCAUUCUUUCCUGAUCUGAGCUGGCCCUACACUCAUAUUAUAUCCAUCAUUGUCUUUGGCUUCUAAGGAUGUGCUGAUUGCCCUAUAGAUUGACAUACAAAGUUCAGAACGAUAAAAAUGGAAAGGCAUUAUAGUAUUAUCUAAAUAUGCCUCCUCAAUUUAAAGAUUAAUAAAACUGGGCUAGACUAGGUCACACAGUUGGUUAGAGGCAAUGUCAAGAUUAGAAGUUGCCCCAUUCUCAGUGUGCUGUUCAUCAUUCCAAAUAAAAUCAAAAUAAGAUAUCUUUAAAGGUUUCUCACUAGAAAUGAUGAUGAAGAGAGCACCAUCAAUAAAAGAGACAGACGUGCCUGAAAGCUCCUUCCCUGCCCUGCCCUUUCCAGUUUCCUGUGGAUUCUCAAGACCAUGAAAGGUUAGAAAUAUUAGCUGCAGAGAGAAAAGAAACAUAACAUGAACAUAUUUUCCUAUCAGUGGAUUUUCCCCUACAAGAUCAUUUUUGAAGAAGCUAAUGGUUAGGAGCACGGCCUCUGGGGCCAGACUUCCUAGACUCAAAUCCUGGCUCCAUGUCUUACUAGGUAUAUGACCUUGGGCAAAUUAACCUCUGUGCUUUGGUCUACCCAUCUGUAAAACAGGGAUAACAGUAUCUACUUCAUAGGUUGUUAUGAGGAUUAAAUAACCGUUUCGUCUUAUCUAUAUCCAUCUAUCUCUACAUAGAUAUAUAUAUGUAUAUAUAUCCUAGAAUAGUGCUUGGCAUGUAGUAAACUCUGCUAUAGCAGAGUUUUCUAUUAUCGACAAAUAGCAAGAUAUUCUGCCCUUUGGAUGUGUGAUAAUUUCUUUAGCCAAUCCCUUACUAUUGUAUAUUUGAUGGCCUUCAGCUUUUUGUUGUUAUUCAAAGGAGGAUAAAUUAUCACUAAAUCCAUCGGAAAUAAAUGUCUACACUCUCCAAAUAAUCCAUGUGAGAGUUACAAUGGACAGGUAGGUGCCAUUUCCUUCCUGUUUUUUUCUGGUAGCAAAGUAGGACAGGAAAUGUAGAGUCUAGUUGGGUGGCCAUAUGCCCUGCCAGAAUUCACUGGGGAGUUCUACUAUUAAAGGAAGAAGGGAACCAUGGCUACUGCAGGGCUAUCAGCAGACCCUGCCACAGCUUUUAACAUCCAUCCUAUCCCCUAGACUACAACUCUGUGGAAGUUUGGUUAAACAAGGUAAUCACAGGACUACCCUUAUGUUGUCACACUUUAGUGGAUAAAUGUUUAAAAAAACCUGGAUCUAUUUUUAUCAUCCCUUAAAUUUCAAACUCCCUUUGUCACCUGGUUUUAGGUACAUUUUUUUACAAGCCAUACAUAGUUGGAUUUAGUUUUCUAACUCACUGUUAAACUACCUCUGUCUUUGAUGUAGGAAUUCAAUUUGUUCAUAUUAUUUGUGAUAACAUUUAUUGAUUCUUUUUCAUUUUUACUUGUUUAAAGUCUAUUGUACUUUUCUUUUCCACUUUCCUUACUUUUUCUAUCUUGGUCAGUGUUCACUUUAUCAUUUAAAAAAAUUUAGGAGAAAUUCUACUAGGAAACAAAUGGAAAAAGACAAUCAAGAAAAUCAAGGGUAGGCCUAAAUGACUACUGGUAUGGAUACUUGUAAAAAGUCAUUAAAGAGACUUGAACUACAGAAAAACAGAUAAAUGUAAAAAAAACUUAGCUGCAAUUCUUACUACAAAACAUCACCUUUGUUAAUGUUCUAAUGCAUUAAGACUUUUCUGGAAAAUCAGAUAUUCUAUUAACAGAUAUUCAUAUGGAUAUAAAU